UUAACAUUCUGAGUAAGGAAAGAAAAUAGAAAAUUCCCUCAAUAUUGGUGACAAAGUCUACUGAGCUCUGUAUUCAUUUUGCUAGACAUAAGGGUUAAGGAGACUAGAGAAAGGAGUUUAAUGUGAGAGACUACAUAAGUGAAAAGAAGCUCUGGUUACUUCUGCAGUUCAAGGCUCAAAGGAAAGCUUUACUUGGAGAUGGCCAGGCUGAAGGUGCUGCCUGUCCUGCUCAGCUGCUCCAGCAUUUUGUCUGGGUUGAAAUGGAACUUGGGAUAGAAGGUUUCACAAAGGUGCAAUUCAGAAGAUGUGCUUUGUUACACUUACAUCCUCAAGAAGAACACAAAAUAAACAUUGAUCACAUUUAUCUACACGGCCAUACAUUAAAUUUUCACCAUCUGUGAAAUUAAUUACACAACUGACGCGCAAUUAUGAUAUCCAAAAUUCACCAAGACUCCUCAGCCAGUACCUCCCAAACCCGCAAACUCUAUCAGCGAGAAGGACACGGGCAACAAAAGUAAGUGAACACAACCCGGCAGAAGUUACUCUCCAAAGCCAUACACCUACUUGAUUUGCAGUAUAUUGCUUUUCUUUCAUUGUACCUGGGACCUUAAGAAUUGCAGCUGUUCAAGAAGGCAGCUCACCACUACCUUCUCAAGGGAAUUAAGAUAAGCAAUUAAAUGUUGGCUCAGCCUGAAAAACUCAUAUCCCUUGAAUGAAUUAUAAAAAAAUCCUUUGUUAGUGAUUCAUAAUUUGUCAUUCAUUUAAAUGUUUUGUGCCUAAAUAUACAUACAUACAUACAUAUAUAUACACAUACACACACACCAUUGUAAUUUGACUUUUACUUUCUACUGUCCAUUAUUUUUUCACCAGUUAUGCCAUCUUUUGUUUAAUUUCCUGUUUGUUUUCACCUUUCUAUUUUCCACAAAUAUUUUAUUAGUCAGUUGAAUCUUCUUCUAUUGCUUUAUCUCAUCCACAAAGCUGUCGUUGCAUCCAUGUACUUUUCCAGACUGCUCCAAAUGAAUCUAGAAUGUGAAUCCUUCCUUUUUCACUAAGUACCAGUUCUCUGCAUCAGAGUUGUGUAGAUAAUGGAACUGCUGCCUCUCAGUGAUGGUGACCUGGGUUCAGUUCUGUUUGGGGCUGUGAAAUUUGUAGGUUCUUAUGAUUUUCUUUGGAUGUUCUAGUUUCUUCCCAUAUAUUGAUAGGUUAAUUGACCAUUUUAAAUUUUAUGUGGAUGAGUAGUGGAAUCUGGGGGAGAGCUGAUGAAAAUAUGAGGAAAAUAAAUAAAACAAGAUCAGUGGGAUUAGUGUAGGUGGGUGUUUGAAUGGUCAGCGCAGACUCAGUGGGCAGAAGAGCCUAUUUCUAUGCUGUGUUAUUCUGUGGCUCUACAACAAUUAAAAAACAUUAUUGACAUACAGCCUUUUGCACUGCAACAGCCAGCGAUUUCCCCCAAUUUAAUCCUAGUAAUCAUGGGACAAUUUGCAAUGACUAAUUAACAUACCAACCAGGAUGUUUUGGGAAUAUGGGAGGAAACUGGGGUGCCCAGGGGAAACCCAUGUGCCACCGGGAAAAUGUACAAACUCCUUACAGGCAGCAAAGGGAAUUGAACCCCGGUUGCUGGUACUGUAAGAGCAUUGUGCUAACCACUACGGUACUGUGCUGACCGAUUUCUUCACAUUUGCAACAACUUCUAAUACUAAUCUUUCCUUUAUGGAACAAUUCUUGUGUUUAAGAUCUUAAAUUAUAUUUGCAUUUAUGUGUUUGAACUGUGAUAAUUUAAGAUGAGAAAAAUGACUGUCCAAAAGAAAAUUCAGUUGAGAAGUAAGCAGUCUUGUAUAAAUUAUAUGAGAGUAGAUGAUUAACAGAGCCUAUAUAAUCUGCUCAACAUUUGCUUGAAUUUGUUAAAUAUGGAACUUGGUCAAAGAUUACAUCCUGCUGGAUUGUUAAUGCCUGUUUCCUCUGACUGUGCAGUCUGUUCAGGAUAUGGAGCUGUAAGGAGACGUGAACUACAUUUACCACAAAUAAAUGCAAUAACCUAUUUA
Long non-coding RNA from Hypanus sabinus (Atlantic stingray), 2039 nucleotides. RefSeq lists it as uncharacterized. Lineage: Eukaryota; Metazoa; Chordata; Chondrichthyes; Myliobatiformes; Dasyatidae. The record is from RefSeq and is a predicted model, not a curated record. The transcript has 4 exons.